ACGCGAGGAACCUUACCCGGGCUUGAACUGCAGAGGAAGGAUUGAGAGAUCAUGACGCCCUUCGGGGUCUCUGUGGAGGUGCUGCAUGGUUGUCGUCAGCUCGUGCCGUGAGGUGUCGGCUUAAGUGCCAUAACGAGCGCAACCCCUUUCCCCGGUUGCCAUCGGGUCAUGCCGGGCACUCCGUGGACACUGCCACCGCAAGGUGCGAGGAAGGUGGGGAUGACGUCAAAUCAGCACGGCCCUUACGUCCGGGGCUACACACGUGUUACAAUGGUGUCAGACAGAGAGAAGCAAACCCGCGAGGGGGAGCAAAUCUCAAAAACGGCAUCUCAGUUCGGACUGCAGGCUGCAACCCGCCUGCACGAAGCUGGAAUCGCUAGUAAUCGCGAAUCAGCAUGUCGCGGUGAAUACGUUCCCGGGUCUUGUACACACCG
RNAcentral lists this ribosomal RNA (434 nucleotides) under uncultured rumen bacterium. Its description in RNAcentral is "bacterial SSU rRNA". It matches the Rfam family "Bacterial small subunit ribosomal RNA", at positions 959 to 1392 of the family's 1533-position model. The record is from RNAcentral.